AAAAAGAUUUUUUUAGAAAUCAUCAAAAGAACCAAUAACUCGAUA
Molecule: non-coding RNA, 45 nt
Organism: Phoenicopterus ruber ruber
Lineage: Eukaryota; Metazoa; Chordata; Aves; Phoenicopteriformes; Phoenicopteridae
Source: Rfam